This 253-nucleotide ribosomal RNA is filed under the name uncultured bacterium. RNAcentral describes it as "partial 16S ribosomal RNA". It matches the Rfam family "Bacterial small subunit ribosomal RNA", at positions 524 to 776 of the family's 1533-position model. The record is from RNAcentral.
UACGUAGGGGGCUAGCGUUGCUCGGAAUUACUGGGCGUAAAGGGCGCGUAGGCGGACUGUUUAGUCAGAGGUGAAAGCCCAGGGCUCAACCUUGGAACUGCCUUUGAUACUGACUGUCUUGAGUUCGGGAGAGGUGAGUGGAAUGCCGAGUGUAGAGGUGAAAUUCGUAGAUAUUCGGCGGAACACCAGUGGCGAAGGCGACUCACUGGCCCGAUACUGACGCUGAGGCGCGAAAGCGUGGGGAGCAAACAGG